Molecule: long non-coding RNA, 690 nt
Organism: Schistocerca piceifrons (Central American locust)
Lineage: Eukaryota; Metazoa; Arthropoda; Insecta; Orthoptera; Acrididae
Exons: 3
Source: RefSeq, a predicted model, not a curated record
UGAUCCAGGAUUUUCGAAUGCUGGCUAAGCCUUCUGUGAGCAAGUUCUUGAUCUUGUCAUCUUCCACAUCUGCUGCAUUAAACUGUCAAUUCGAUGAAGAAUAUUAAAGUGCUCAAUCAAUCACCAUGGGGAGGACAAUUUCACAUGAGAGUGUGAUCAAAAGGAACCUCAAUGAGAAUUACAGCUGCAAAAACUAAAAGGCAGCAUGAAAAGGAAACUCAGUACUUCAGCCAAGAUCCAUAUAUAAGCACUUUUGAGCUGCAUUAUAAUCACAAAGAAGGCGAUUCCAGUGUGGAAGCAUCGCAGUAUUCUACUUGCCAAAAGCAACUGAACAAAGUGGAACAAGGUUGCAAACUCAAUUAUAAGAUGACGGUUACAUCUUCAAAACCUUGAAGAACUGCGCAGUAUUAUGCAGUACAGCACAGUUGAAUUUCACUGUUGUGUCUAGUGAUAUAGGUUACAGUGUUGUUUAUAAUACUUCUACUAAAGUGUUAAAUUGUCUUGCCGUUUUUGGUAUAUCAUUAUCAUGUUGCAGUAAACAGCUAACUAACUCAUUAUUAUAGAACAAUAAGAAUCUGACACCUGAUCCAUCUCCAGCAUGACAAUGAAGGACUAAGUGCAUGACUGUAACACAUUAAUCUAUGAUCAAAAAAAUGUUAACAGCUUUAUUUUCUCAUAUCAUGGUCUGUG